RNAcentral lists this long non-coding RNA (687 nucleotides) under Cricetulus griseus (Chinese hamster). Its description in RNAcentral is "lncRNA (ENSCGRG00000024823.1)". Lineage: Eukaryota; Metazoa; Chordata; Mammalia; Rodentia; Cricetidae. The record is from RNAcentral.
UUCGGAUCCUUCUAUCUCCACCACCUGAGCUGGGAUAAAGGCAUGCACAGCUGUGCCUGGUUUAUGUGGAGCUGGGGAUGAAAUCCAGGACUUCACGCAUGCUAGGCAAGCACUCUAUCACCCGAGCUACAUCUUAAGUCCCUUCCAUCAAUUUGGAAUUCCCACCAUUGCGCCACAAGCAAUUGAGCCUCAGCUUCCCUCUGAGAAUACAGGCCACACUGCAGCUCUCCAGCAGUCUGACCAGAGCUGAGGUUCAGGCACAGCUCGGUACCCUGAGUGCCCUGGGGGGUGCUUCUAUCAAGCUCUCCACCACAGACCACUAUGGGCUACACACUCAAAGGCAGUUUUAGGAUCAUGUUAGCCUGGGGCUGGCUUGGAAAGACUUUCUCAAGAGAAACCAGAUUAAUCUCUGCCUCCACACAGCCUUAGCUUCACAGAGGCCCUCAGGGUUUCCAGCAAACCACAGAGCCCUUGUCCUCUGUUCUCCUUCCUCAGUGACUGCCCACCUCUUAAGCUGGGGACAUGACAGGGGCAGUGAGUCUUACCAGAAGAACUGGACACUGAAGCCCACUAAAGGCUUCUACCGUGGCUCUACUUACCACACUUGGCAAGAGGAUAAGAGGCAAAGCUCCAAUCAGGAAAUUUUCCAUGUGCCAAUAACCCAUGCUCUAAUUUCCAUGACAAAGA